This 391-nucleotide unclassified non-coding RNA is filed under the name soil metagenome. RNAcentral describes it as "partial contains 5.8S ribosomal RNA, internal transcribed spacer 2, and large subunit ribosomal RNA". The stretch from base 1 to 122 matches the Rfam family "5.8S ribosomal RNA", at positions 35 to 154 of the family's 154-position model. The record is from RNAcentral.
GAUGAAGAACGUAGCGAAAUGCGAUACUUGGUGUGAAUUGCAGAAUCCCGUGAACCAUCGAGUCUUUGAACGCAAGUUGCGCCCGAAGCCAUUAGGCCGAGGGCACGCCUGCCAGGGCGUCACACGUCGUUGCCCCCCCAUCUACUCCUUCGGGAUUGCGGGGGGCGGAUGAUGGCCUCCCGUGCGCCUCGUCGCGCGGUUGGCAUAAAUGCCAAGUCCUCGGCGACGCACGCCACGACAAUCGGUGGUUGCGAAACCUCGGUUGCCCGUCGUGUGCGGUCGUCGCGCAUCGAGGGCUCGAAAAAAUUGCCGGGCUCCGGCUCGGCUUUCAACGCGACCCCAGGUCAGGCGGGGUUACCCGCUGAAUUUAAGCAUAUCAAUAAGCGGAGGA